Molecule: long non-coding RNA, 222 nt
Filed under: Salvia miltiorrhiza (redroot sage)
Lineage: Eukaryota; Viridiplantae; Streptophyta; Magnoliopsida; Lamiales; Lamiaceae
Description: long non-coding RNA (SMIL_LNC013328)
Source: RNAcentral
UUGAGGAUAUCGCUAGGGGCCCGUAAAUAGGGUCCAGGACUUCACCGUCCUUGGAUUGCCACAAUGCGAUUUGAGGUUUAUUUUGAGGAUGUCGCCAGGGGCCCGUAAAUAGGGUCCGGGACUUUAAUAGUCCUUGGAUUGCCACAGUGCGAAUAUUGAGGAUAUAUAUGAAGUGACCGUAUGUGUUUACUGUGUUAUUAUCUUGGACAAUGAUUGCAUGUU